AGUGAACGCUGGCGGUAGGCCUAACACAUGCAAGUCGAACGGCAGCACAGUAAGAGCUUGCUCUUACGGGUGGCGAGUGGCGGACGGGUGAGGAAUACAUCGGAAUCUACUUUUUCGUGGGGGAUAACGUAGGGAAACUUACGCUAAUACCGCAUACGACCUACGGGUGAAAGCAGGGGAUCUCCGGACCUUGCGCGAUUGAAUGAGCCGAUGUCGGAUUAGCUAGUUGGCGGGGUAAAGGCCCACCAAGGCGACGAUCCGUAGCUGGUCUGAGAGGAUGAUCAGCCACACUGGAACUGAGACACGGUCCAGACUCCUACGGGAGGCAGCAGUGGGGAAUAUUGGACAAUGGGCGCAAGCCUGAUCCAGCCAUACCGCGUGGGUGAAGAAGGCCUUCGGGUUGUAAAGCCCUUUUGUUGGGAAAGAAAAGCAGCAGGUUAAUACCCCGCUGUUCUGACGGUACCCAAAGAAUAAGCACCGGCUAACUUCGU
Molecule: ribosomal RNA, 491 nt
Filed under: uncultured bacterium
Lineage: Bacteria
Description: partial 16S ribosomal RNA
Rfam family: Bacterial small subunit ribosomal RNA
Source: RNAcentral